RNAcentral lists this ribosomal RNA (801 nucleotides) under uncultured bacterium. RNAcentral's name for it is "bacterial SSU rRNA". It matches the Rfam family "Bacterial small subunit ribosomal RNA", at positions 67 to 877 of the family's 1533-position model. The record is from RNAcentral.
CGAGGUGCUUUUGUAGCAAUACGAGAGUAUCCUAGUGGCGAACGGGUGAGUAACGCGUUGGUGACCUACCCCAAAGUGUGGGAUAACAGUCCGAAAGGAUUGCUAAUACCGCAUGUGGUCCUCGGGUUUAGAAACCGGUGACUAAAGGAGCGAUUCGCUUUGGGAGGGACCUGCGUCCCAUCAGCUAGUUGGUGAGGUAACGGCUCACCAAGGCGACGACGGGUAGGGGACCUGAGAGGGUGGCCCCCCACAAUGGAACUGAAACACGGUCCAUACACCUACGGGUGGCAGCAGUAGGGAAUAUUGCACAAUGGGCGAAAGCCUGAUGCAGCAACGCCGCGUGCACGAUGAAGGCCUUCGGGUCGUAAAGUGCUUUUCUGCGAGAUGAGAAAGGACAGUAUCGUAGGAAUAAGUCUCGGCUAACUACGUGCCAGCAGCCGCGGUAAAACGUAGGAGGCGAGCGUUAUCCGGAUUCACUGGGCGUAAAGCGCGUGCAGGUGGUUCGGUAAGUUGGGCGUGAAAUCUCCCGGCUCAACUGGGAGAGGUCGUCCAAUACUACCGAACUUGAGAGCAGAAGAGGAAGAUGGAAUUCCCGGUGUAGUGGUGAAAUGCGUAGAUAUCGGGAGGAACACCAGUGGCGAAGGCGAUCUUCUGGUCUGUUUCUGACACUCAGACGCGACAGCUAGGGUAGUAAACGGGAUUAGAGACCCCGGUAAUCCUAGCCGUAAACGAUGUGAACUUGGCGUUGGUGGGUUAAACUCCAUCAGUGCCGCAGCAAACGCGAUAAGUUCACCGCCUGGG